UAACCUGCCCAAGAGAUCGGGAUAACACCUGGAAACAGAUGCUAAUACCGGAUAACAACAGAUGAUGCCUAUCAACUGUUUAAAAGAUGGUUCUGCUAUCACUCUUGGAUGGACCUGCGGUGCAUUAGCUAGUUGGUAGGGUAACGGCCUACCAAGGCGAUGAUGCAUAGUCGAGUCGAGAGACUGAUCGGCCACAUUGGGACUGAGACACGGCCCAAACUCCUACGGGAGGCAGCAGCC
RNAcentral lists this ribosomal RNA (240 nucleotides) under uncultured Lactobacillus sp. RNAcentral describes it as "partial 16S ribosomal RNA". It matches the Rfam family "Bacterial small subunit ribosomal RNA", at positions 122 to 355 of the family's 1533-position model. The record is from RNAcentral. Lineage: Bacteria; Bacillati; Bacillota; Bacilli; Lactobacillales; Lactobacillaceae.